Nannospalax galili (Upper Galilee mountains blind mole rat) is the source of this 216-nucleotide long non-coding RNA. RefSeq lists it as uncharacterized. Lineage: Eukaryota; Metazoa; Chordata; Mammalia; Rodentia; Spalacidae. The transcript has 3 exons. The record is from RefSeq and is a predicted model, not a curated record.
UUACAAUAAAAAUCCAGUUUAUGUGUGGAGAAGAUCCUAGCAACGCUAUGCCGGUCAUCUUUGGGAAGUCCAAUGGGCCCGAGUUUCUGCAGGAAGUAUACACAGCCAUUACAUACCAUAAUAAGUCUCCUGACUUUUAUGAAGAAGUGAAAAUUCAGCUCCCUGCUAAGCUCACAGUAAAUCACCACCUCCUGUUCACCUUCUAUCACGUCAGCU